This 409-nucleotide ribosomal RNA is filed under the name uncultured Anaerolineaceae bacterium. RNAcentral describes it as "bacterial SSU rRNA". It matches the Rfam family "Bacterial small subunit ribosomal RNA", at positions 958 to 1382 of the family's 1533-position model. The record is from RNAcentral. Lineage: Bacteria; Bacillati; Chloroflexota; Anaerolineae; Anaerolineales; Anaerolineaceae.
UACACGAAGAACCUUACCUGGGUUUGACAUAUAGGUUGUAGGGAACUGAAAAGGGACCGACCCUUCGGGAGCCUAUACAGGUGUUGCAUGGCUGUCGUCAGCUCGUGUCGUGAGAUGUUCGGUUAAGUCCGCUAACGAGCGCAACCCUCGUCGUAUGUUAUAUGUGUCAUACGAGACUGCCGGUAAAAGCCGGAGGAAGGUGAGGAUGAUGUCAAGUCAGCAUGACCUUUAUAUCCAGGGCUACACACACGCUACAAUGGUCUGUACAAUGGGUAGCCAAGCCGCGAGGCGGAGCCAAUCCUGAAAGCAGGCCUCAGUUCAGAUUGCAGUCUGCAACUCGACUGCAUGAAGCCGGAGUUGCUAGUAACCGCAGGUCAGCAAUACUGCGGUGAAUACGUUCCCGGGUCUU